AGUACGGACAAUGAUGAUAAUAUUGAUAAAAUCGGUAUCAAAAUGUUCAGUUUUGUCAGUGUGAUGUGGGGUGGUGACAGGUAUUGUAGAUAAUUAUGACGAUAUGCAAUGAUAUGUAUCUAGUAUGAUAAUGUUAUUAUGGUGUUGAUGAUGCUGAUGAUGAUGACGGUAUGGUGGAUAUUAUGAUAUUAUGACGAUAUGACAAUAAUGUUGUUCAUAAUGAUGAUGUUUAUGCUAUUAUGAUAAUAUGGUGAUAUUCAGUUUGUGUUUAAAUGAUCAUAACGAUAUGAUGAUGAUGAUGGUAAGAUGAUGAUUUGGUGACAAUAUGGCGUUGAUAGCGAUUAAAUUACGAUCAUAAAUAUGAAAUAGUUAUGAUUAAUGAUGAUGAUAAUGAUAUAACAUGACGAUGAUAUGACGAUACAAUAAUGCUGAGAGGAAAAUGAUUACCAUGAUGGUACGUUAUAAGAAUAACAUGAUAUGAUAUUACACGAUAAUAUGUUUUGAUUACGAUGAUGAUAUGGUAUAACGAAUCAGUUAUGAUCUUUGUGAUGGCAUGAUAAUGAUGGCAAUAAUGAUUGUGAUAUUACGAAAUGAUAAUGAUAUGAAAUCAUGUUGGUACAUUAUAGUACUUUAAGGACGAUGGUGAUGUCGUUGAUGGUAAAGAUGACAAUGGUGAUAAUAUUCUGACGAUGAUAAGACAAUAAUGGCGUUUUAAUAUAUUGUAAUAAUUAAGUAUUUCAGUUUGCUAGCAAUACUCCAACAUUAGGGGGAAACAUCAGGUAAAAUGAAUCAAAGGUAAAAGUACAAGAGAACAUGUCGUCUAGUUUCAGCUACAAAUAUAAAGGUAACGGUUAUGGUAAAACAGAAUACAGAUUGAACGUCAUUAUAAAUGGUAAAAAAGUAUCUUGUUUACGUCUUAAAUUAGCGAAGGUGAGUUAUUUCUUUUAUUUACCCUAAUGUAAUGCAGCGUUCUGUGUUUUGAUUGGACGAAUUUUAUUUCAUAAAAUAUUUAGUGUCCCUCAAUACACAUGUGUCCGUAUGUGCAUUUCGGUAUGGCAUAUAGCAAUUUAUGAACUGAGGUGAAUAUUGAGCAAUUCGCCUCACUUUCUCAUCGGCUGUGAAUGGAGAAAUCUCUGCCAUUUGCCAAUUUCUUCAUGGUCAGUCUAUAAAAUAGGCUUCUGCCACUUUGCGUUGCCUGUAAGUUGCUAUGCCAUUUAGCUAGUGAUUGUUCUUGUGUUCAUAUUCAUUUCUUAAAAUUUAAACAUGCUAUAUGCCAUGAUAUCAAUGAAAUAAAGUCGCGGCCAUUUCCCAUCUA
This is a long non-coding RNA of Mercenaria mercenaria, 1315 nucleotides long. RefSeq lists it as uncharacterized. The transcript is spliced from 2 exons. NCBI's taxonomy places the organism in Eukaryota, Metazoa, Mollusca, Bivalvia, Venerida, Veneridae. The record is from RefSeq and is a predicted model, not a curated record.